This 388-nucleotide ribosomal RNA is filed under the name uncultured bacterium. RNAcentral's name for it is "bacterial SSU rRNA". It matches the Rfam family "Bacterial small subunit ribosomal RNA", at positions 364 to 769 of the family's 1533-position model. The record is from RNAcentral.
UUGGUCAAUGGGGGAAACCCUGAACCAGCAACGCCGCGUGAGGGAUGACGGUCUUCGGAUUGUAAACCUCUGUCCUCUGUGAAGAUAGUGACGGUAGCUAAGGAGCAAGCCACGGCUAACUACGUGCCAGCAGCCGCGGUAAUACGUAGGUGGCAAGCGUUGUCCGGAAUUACUGGGUGUAAAGGGAGCGCAGGCGGGAAGCCAAGUCAGCUGUGAAAACUACAGGCUUAACUUGUAGACUGCAGUUGAAACUGGUUUUCUUGAGUGAAGUAGAGGUUGGCGGAAUUCCGAGUGUAGCGGUGAAAUGCGUAGAUAUUCGGAGGAACACCGGUGGCGAAGGCGGCCAACUGGGCUUUAACUGACGCUGAGGCUCGAAAGUGUGGGGAGC